AUGCAAGUCGAGCGGAAAGGCCCUUCGGGGUACUCGAGCGGCGAACGGGUGAGUAACACGUGAGCAACCUGCCCCAAGCUUUGGGAUAACCCUCGGAAACGGGGGCUAAUACCGAAUAUUACUUGUGGUCGCAUGACUGUGGGUGGAAAGUUUUUCGGCUUGGGAUGGGCUCGCGGCCUAUCAGCUUGUUGGUGGGGUGAUGGCCUACCAAGGCGACGACGGGUAGCCGGCCUGAGAGGGCGACCGGCCACACUGGGACUGAGACACGGCCCAGACUCCUACGGGAGGCAGCAGUGGGGAAUAUUGCACAAUGGGCGGAAGCCUGAUGCAGCGACGCCGCGUGAGGGAUGACGGCCUUCGGGUUGUAAACCUCUUUCAGCAGGGACGAAGCGAGAGUGACGGUACCUGCAGAAGAAGCACCGGCCAACUACGUGCCAGCAGCCGCGGUAAGACGUAGGGUGCGAGCGUUGUCCGGAUUUAUUGGGCGUAAAGAGCUCGUAGGCGGCUUGUCGCGUCGACCGUGAAAACUUGGGGCUCAACCCCAAGCCUGCGGUCGAUACGGGCAGGCUAGAGUUCGGUAGGGGAGACUGGAAUUCCUGGUGUAGCGGUGAAAUGCGCAGAUAUCAGGAGGAACACCGGUGGCGAAGGCGGGUCUCUGGGCCGAUACUGACGCUGAGGAGCGAAAGCGUGGGGAGCGAACAGGAUUAGAUACCCUGGUAGUCCACGCUGUAAACGUUGGGCGCUAGGUGUGGGGGGCCUCUCCGGUUCCCUGUGCCGCAGCUAACGCAUUAAGCGCCCCGCCUGGGGAGUACGGCCGCAAGGCUAAAACUCAAAGGAAUUGACGGGGGCCCGCACAAGCGGCGGAGCAUGCGGAUUAAUUCGAUGCAACGCGAAGAACCUUACCUGGGUUUGACAUGGCCGCAAAACCUCCAGAGAUGGGGGGUCCUUCGGGGGCGGUCACAGGUGGUGCAUGGCUGUNGUCAGCUCGUGUCGUGAGAUGUUGGGUUAAGUCCCGCAACGAGCGCAACCCUCGUUCGAUGUUGCCAGCGCGUUAUGGCGGGGACUCAUCGAAGACUGCCGGGGUCAACUCGGAGGAAGGUGGGGAUGACGUCAAGUCAUCAUGCCCCUUAUGUCCAGGGCUUCACGCAUGCUACAAUGGCCGGUACAAUGGGCUGCGAUACCGUGAGGUGGAGCGAAUCCCAAAAAGCCGGUCUCAGUUCGGAUCGGGGUCUGCAACUCGACCCCGUGAAGUCGGAGUCGCUAGUAAUCGCAGAUCAGCAACGCUGCGGUGAAUACGUUCCCGGGCCUUGUACACACCGCCCGUCACGUCACGAAAGUCGGCAACACCCGAAGCGGUGGCCCACCC
Molecule: ribosomal RNA, 1366 nt
Filed under: Micromonospora sp.
Lineage: Bacteria; Bacillati; Actinomycetota; Actinomycetes; Micromonosporales; Micromonosporaceae
Description: bacterial SSU rRNA
Rfam family: Bacterial small subunit ribosomal RNA
Source: RNAcentral